GGUAGCGCCAAAGCGCCAUCUAGUGGCCAUUAGCGGGUGGACUGGAAGUGAUUGCGCAUGAGAAAUGCGCGUGAUACAAACGGCUGCAUUCUCCACAGGAAGACUGUUCAAGAAGUCGCGGUGCAGUGUUCGUGUUUAACAUUAAUAACGGUGUACGUCCUUAUGAGAAAACUACACUAAUACACUCAAGCCCAAAAUGUUAACCUACCAUGUCCAUUAAUAUAAGCUGAGAGGCAACUACUACAUUCAAAUCUGCACCUGUAAUUGAUGUCUAAUGUAUGUCUGUGCUGCUGAAGAAAGUUGAGUAAAACGUUCAAUCUGA
This is a non-coding RNA of Pimephales promelas (fathead minnow), 322 nucleotides long. NCBI's taxonomy places the organism in Eukaryota, Metazoa, Chordata, Actinopteri, Cypriniformes, Leuciscidae. The record is from RefSeq and is a predicted model, not a curated record.